CCUACGGGAGGCAGCAGUGAGGAAUAUUGGUCAAUGGACGAGAGUCUGAACCAGCCAAGUAGCGUGAAGGAUGACUGCCCUAUGGGUUGUAAACUUCUUUUAUAUGGGAAUAAAGUGAGGCACGUGUGCCUUUUUGUAUGUACUUUAUGAAUAAGGAUCGGCUAACUUCGUGCCAGCAGCCGCGGUAAUACGGAGGAUCGGGGCGUUAUCCGGAUUUAUUGGGGUUAAAGGGAGCGUAGAUGGGUUGUUAAGUCAGUUGUGAAAGUUUGCGGCUCAACCGUAAAAUUGCAAUUGAUACUGGCAGUCUUGAGUACAGUUGAGGUAGGCGGAAUUCGUGGUGUAGCGGUGAAAUGCUUAGAUAUCACGAAGAACUCCGAUUGCGAAGGCAGCUUACUAAACUGCCACUGACAUUGAUGCUCGAAAGUGUGGGUAUCAAACAGGAUUAGAUACCCUAGUAGUC
RNAcentral lists this ribosomal RNA (460 nucleotides) under uncultured bacterium. Its description in RNAcentral is "partial 16S ribosomal RNA". It matches the Rfam family "Bacterial small subunit ribosomal RNA", at positions 338 to 795 of the family's 1533-position model. The record is from RNAcentral.